This 253-nucleotide ribosomal RNA is filed under the name uncultured prokaryote. RNAcentral describes it as "partial 16S ribosomal RNA". It matches the Rfam family "Bacterial small subunit ribosomal RNA", at positions 524 to 776 of the family's 1533-position model. The record is from RNAcentral.
UACGAAGGACCCGAGCGUUAUCCGGAUUUAUUGGGUUUAAAGGGUGCGUAGGCGGACUAGUAAGUCAGUGGUGAAAGCCCAUCGCUUAACGGUGGAACUGCCAUUGAUACUGCUAGUCUUGAGUAUGGUUGAGGUGGGCGGAAUGUGUCAUGUAGCGGUGAAAUGCUUAGAUAUGACAUAGAACACCCAUUGCGAAGGCAGCUCGCUACACUAUUAUUGACGCUGAGGCACGAAAGCGUGGGGAUCAAACAGG